AACGGUCAAUAAGGAAACAUGGGAAUAGAACAUCAACCUCUAAGGCACCGUUUGGAUGUUUGUAUUGAGGCUAGGUAUUGGAUAUUGGGGCAUUGGAGGCCCGAAUACCUCAAUUUGAGGCGUUUGGCUGUCCUUGGCAUUCGGGCUUGGCAUUCGGGCUCAAUAUUGCCUGGCCCGAUUAACGCUUCGCUAGACUCCUCUCGAAUGACCAGCCUCUAGCCUCGACAUCUCCAGGUAUUCGAGCGAGCGAAGCUAUUUUCUACCCCGACCCGAGCCCAGACCCUAGCGUCGAGGCCGCACCAGCCAAAUCGAGCGGCGGCGCAAGUCUGAAUCCCUCCGCCUCCUCUCUUUCUCCUCCGCCGUCCACCGGCGCCCUUCCCUCCACCUCGUCCUCCCUUCCCCAACCCAUUCCCGCUUCCGCAUCUCACAUAUUUGCCUCUAUAGAUCGGUAGAGCUCCUUCUCCGAGCAGGAUGGCGGCGAGCUCCAGUCCCACCCUGACGCGCCCCCAGUGUUGAGCGCAGAACGCGCGGACGUGAGGCUGUGAGCAGGAACAAGACAAAGACGUUAUUUACCCCCAUCUAACCGAGUUUGAUUCAUCACAUAUGCGUGUGAUUCCAGAACCUGUCAUUUGUGCUAGCUAUCCUAAGAACUUCUAAGUUGUAAUAUUGCCUAUGAGACUAAUCUGUGGUGAACCUUUUGGAUGAGACUUGAUGGAUUAUGCAAGGCACUUGUUAUUAUGCUAUUGCUAUCAUAUUUUGAAGAACUUGGCUGCCCCUAUUAAUUAACUUACAUUCACUGCA
Molecule: long non-coding RNA, 801 nt
Organism: Lolium perenne
Lineage: Eukaryota; Viridiplantae; Streptophyta; Magnoliopsida; Poales; Poaceae
Source: RefSeq, a predicted model, not a curated record